Long non-coding RNA from Clarias gariepinus (North African catfish), 626 nucleotides. RefSeq lists it as uncharacterized. Lineage: Eukaryota; Metazoa; Chordata; Actinopteri; Siluriformes; Clariidae. The transcript is spliced from 4 exons. The record is from RefSeq and is a predicted model, not a curated record.
UACCUCAGUGUGAAAUCAUGUAUCCUUUAGUUGAUUGAUGUCUGAAAGUCUGUAGUGACUGUGAAAACCAGGAGGGCUGGAACUCACACACUAGAUGGAUUUAAAGGAGAGACAAUAAAGUAAUGGGAUCAGAACUGAUAGACAGGUGAAGCUCAGAGACUCCUUUUCCCUUCACUACACUCGCAAACACUAAGGAAUAAAGAUGAAGAUUCUGUUCCUGUCUCUGGUUUUUGCUGUGAUGCUGAUGAGCGGUUCUGCUCUGCAAUGCAACUGGUGUAUCCCAUAUGUGCGUGAAAAAUGUAACCCCGUUCCUGUAGCGUGCAACGCCGGCGAAGUCUGUGGCCAUUAUGAAGUUCGUUCUUAUCACCCUGUAGCUGUACUCGUGAGGAAACGAUGCAUGCCACCCAAGAAAUGCCACGAAAGUUUUAUCUACAACGUCAAGUGCUGUCAGACGGACUUCUGCAAUUAGGAGAGAACCAUGGACAAGUCUGACCUAAAGGAAGAUCAUCUCACUCUACACUUUUGUUGCUUUUGUUUUUAAAUCAUGUAUUCAGCAACAGCAGGAGGAUAUUUAAUUAGUUUUGUCUGAGCAUCUUUUUCAUCAAAUCAUGUGGUGAAAAAAAUAA